This 289-nucleotide ribosomal RNA is filed under the name Aeromonas salmonicida subsp. salmonicida 01-B526. RNAcentral's name for it is "partial 16S ribosomal RNA". It matches the Rfam family "Bacterial small subunit ribosomal RNA", at positions 220 to 524 of the family's 1533-position model. Lineage: Bacteria; Pseudomonadati; Pseudomonadota; Gammaproteobacteria; Aeromonadales; Aeromonadaceae. The record is from RNAcentral.
AUUAGAUGAGCCCGCGUAAGAUUAGCUAGUUGGUGGGGUAAGUGGCCUACCAAGGCGACGAUCUUUAGCUGGUCUGAGAGGAUGAUCAGCCACACUGGGACUGAGACACGGCCCAGACUCCUACGGGAGGCAGCAGUGGGGAAUAUUGGACAAUGGGCGCAAGCCUGAUCCAGCCAUGCCGCGUGAGUGAUGAAGGCCUUAGGGUUGUAAAGUCCUUUCAGAUGGGAAGAUAAUGACGGUACCAUCAGAAGAAGCCCCGGCUAACUCCGUGCCCAGCCGCCGCGGUAAU